AUUGAACGCUGGCGGCAUGCUUUACACAUGCAAGUCGAGCGGCAGCGCGGGGGCAACCCUGGCGGCGAGCGGCGAACGGGUGAGGAAACCAUCGGAACGUGCCCGAGAGUGGGGGAUAACGCCGCGAAAGCGGCGCUAAUACCGCAUAUUCUCUGAGGAGGAAAGUGGGGGACCGCAAGGCCUCACGCUCCCGGAGCGGCCGAUGUCGGAUUAGCUAGUUGGUAGGGUAACGGCCUACCAAGGCGACGAUCCGUAGCUGGUCUGAGAGGACGACCAGCCACACUGGGACUGAGACACGGCCCAGACUCCUACGGGAGGCAGCAGUGGGGAAUAUUGGACAAUGGGGGCAACCCUGAUCCAGCGACGCCGCGUGUGUGAAGAAGGCCUGCGGGUUGUAAAGCACUUUAGUGGGAGGAAAUGCUCAGACCUAACACGUCUGAGAGCUGACUUAACCCAAAGAAAAAGCAACCGGCUAACUCUGUGCCAGCAGCCGCGGU
Molecule: ribosomal RNA, 497 nt
Filed under: uncultured bacterium
Lineage: Bacteria
Description: bacterial SSU rRNA
Rfam family: Bacterial small subunit ribosomal RNA
Source: RNAcentral